RNAcentral lists this ribosomal RNA (382 nucleotides) under uncultured bacterium. Its description in RNAcentral is "bacterial SSU rRNA". It matches the Rfam family "Bacterial small subunit ribosomal RNA", at positions 28 to 402 of the family's 1533-position model. The record is from RNAcentral.
GACGAACGCUGGCGGCGUGCUUAACACAUGCAAGUCGAGCGAGGUCCAUCCGGUGGCAACACCGGGGAAGACCGAGCGGCGAACGGGUGAGUAACACGUGAGCAACCUGCCCCGAAGACUGGGAUAACACCGGGAAACCGGUGCUAAAACCGGAUGCCCUCCUCUGGUCGCAUGGCCGAAAGGAGGAAAAGAUUCUGCUUCGGGAGGGGCUCGCGGGCUAUCAGCUUGUUGGUGGGGUAACGGCNCACCAAGGCGACGACGGCUAGCUGGUCUGAGAGGACGACCAGCCACACUGGGACUGAGACACGGCCCAGACUCCUACGGGAGGCAGCAGUAGGGAAUCUUGCGCAAUGGGCGAAAGCCUGACGCAGCAACGCCGCGU